RNAcentral lists this ribosomal RNA (479 nucleotides) under uncultured bacterium. RNAcentral's name for it is "partial 16S ribosomal RNA". It matches the Rfam family "Bacterial small subunit ribosomal RNA", at positions 28 to 523 of the family's 1533-position model. The record is from RNAcentral.
GACGAACGCUGGCGGCGUGCUUAACACAUGCAAGUCGAGCGAUGAAGCACCUUCGGGUGUGAAUUAGCGGCGAACGGGUGAGGAACACGUGAGAAAUCUGCCUUCAACACUGGGAUAACUCCGGGAAACCGGGGCUAAUACCGGAUAUGAAGCCUGCGGGCAUCCGCGGGUUUGGAAAGUUUUUCAGUUGAAGAUGAUCUCGCGGCCUAUCAGCUUGUUGGUGAGGUAAUGGCUCACCAAGGCGACGACGGGUAGCCGGCCUGAGAGGGCGACCGGCCACACUGGGACUGAGACACGGCCCAGACUCCUACGGGAGGCAGCAGUGGGGAAUAUUGGGCAAUGGAGGAAACUCUGACCCAGCGACGCCGCGUGCGGGAUGAAGGCCUUCGGGUUGUAAACCGCUUUCAGCGGGGAAGAAGCGAAAGUGACGGUACCUGCAGAAGAAGCACCGGCUAACUAUGUGCCAGCAGCCGCAGUAA